GAUGAACGCUGGCGGCGUGCUUAACACAUGCAAGUCGAACGAAGCACUUUAUUUGAUUUCCUUCGGGACUGAUUAUUUUGUGACUGAGUGGCGGACGGGUGAGUAACGCGUGGGUAACCUGCCUUGUACAGGGGGAUAACAGUUGGAAACGGCUGCUAAUACCGCAUAAGCGCACGGCAUCGCAUGAUGCAGUGUGAAAAACUCCGGUGGUAUAAGAUGGACCCGCGUUGGAUUAGCUAGUUGGUGAGGUAACGGCCCACCAAGGCGACGAUCCAUAGCCGACCUGAGAGGGUGACCGGCCACAUUGGGACUGAGACACGGCCCAAACUCCUACGGGAGGCAGCAGUGGGGAAUAUUGCACAAUGGGCGAAAGCCUGAUGCAGCGACGCCGCGUGAGCGAAGAAGUAUUUCGGUGUGUAAAGCUCUAUCAGCAGGGAAGAUAAUGACGGUACCUGACUAAGAAGCACCGGCUAAAUACGUG
Molecule: ribosomal RNA, 481 nt
Filed under: uncultured bacterium
Lineage: Bacteria
Description: partial 16S ribosomal RNA
Rfam family: Bacterial small subunit ribosomal RNA
Source: RNAcentral